UCCUCCCUCUUUCUUCGUGCUUAACACAUGCAAGUCGAACGGAAAGGCCUUUUCGGAGGUACUCGAGUGGCGAACGGGUGAGUAACACGUGGGUGAUCUGCCCUGCACUCUGGGAUAAGCCUGGGAAACUGGGUCUAAUACCGGAUAGGACCGCACUUUAGUGUGUGUGGUGGAAAGUUUUUUCGGUGUAGGAUGAGCCCGCGGCCUAUCAGCUUGUUGGUGGGGUAAUGGCCUACCAAGGCGGCGACGGGUAGCCGGAUUGAGAGGUUGGUCGGCCACAUUGGGACUGAGAUACGGCCCAGACUCCUACGGGAGGCAGCAGUGGGGAAUAUUGCACAAUGGGCGCAAGCCUGAUGCAGCGACGCCGCGUGGGGGAUGACGGCCUUCGGGUUGUAAACUCCUUUCGCCAGGGACGAAGCGUUUUGUGACGGUACCUGGAGAAGAAGCACCGGCUAACUACGUG
This 463-nucleotide ribosomal RNA is filed under the name uncultured bacterium. Its description in RNAcentral is "partial 16S ribosomal RNA". It matches the Rfam family "Bacterial small subunit ribosomal RNA", at positions 36 to 507 of the family's 1533-position model. The record is from RNAcentral.